CUGUUGUUCUCGAAUCAACCGCUGAGCAGUAAGAGAGGGUGAGGGAGGACGAGGUAUAUGCCUUUGGUGAAGACCCAUACUUCUAUCUAAAUCAUCCUGUAUGAGCUCAUGAGGUGGAUAACGGAAGUCAUAUCCACUCCCUUCAGGAAUCCCACCAAACAUUGCAGCUUCAAGCAUUACAGCUUCGUCAUGCUCCACAGACGAGAUGCCACCCCACUUUAAGGAUAUAAAAUAUUAGUGCUCUUAAAACAAAAAAACGAGGGUGAGGGAGGACGAGGUAUAUGCCUUUGGUGAAGACCCAUACUUCUAUCUAAAUCAUCCUGUAUGAGCUCAUGAGGUGGAUAACGGAAGUCAUAUCCACUCCCUUCAGGAAUCCCACCAAACAUUGCAGCUUCAAGCAUUACAGCUUCGUCAUGCUCCACAGACGAGAUGCCACCC
Molecule: long non-coding RNA, 438 nt
Filed under: Olea europaea (common olive)
Lineage: Eukaryota; Viridiplantae; Streptophyta; Magnoliopsida; Lamiales; Oleaceae
Description: long non-coding RNA (OEUR_LNC005148)
Source: RNAcentral